UACGGAGGAUCCAAGCGUUAUCCGGAUUUAUUGGGUUUAAAGGGAGCGUAGGCGGCCUGUUAAGUCAGGGGUGAAAGACGGUGGCUCAACCAUCGCAGUGCCUUUGAUACUGACAGGCUUGAAUGUAGUUGAGGUGGGCGGAAUGUGACAAGUAGCGGUGAAAUGCAUAGAUAUGUCACAGAACACCGAUUGCGAAGGCAGCUUACUACGGAUAUAUUGACACUGAGGCACGAAAGCGUGGGGAGCAAACAGG
RNAcentral lists this ribosomal RNA (253 nucleotides) under uncultured bacterium. RNAcentral's name for it is "partial 16S ribosomal RNA". It matches the Rfam family "Bacterial small subunit ribosomal RNA", at positions 524 to 776 of the family's 1533-position model. The record is from RNAcentral.